AGAGUUUGAUCAUGGCUCAGGACGAACGCUGGCGGUGCGCCUAAUGCAUGCAAGUCGAACGGCGCCUGUCUGACCUGUCGGGCAGGUGUAGUGGCAGACGGCUGAGUAACACGUAAGUGACCAACCCCGAAGCGGGGGAUAAUCCGGAGAAAUCCGGCCUAAUACCCCGUAAGCUCGCUCCGAUACGUCGGAGUGAGGAAAGGUCCCACUUCGGUGGAGCCGCUUUGGGACGGGCUUGCGGCCUAUCAGGUAGUUGGUGGGGUAAUGGCCUACCAAGCCAAAGACGGGUACCCGGUGUGAGAGCACGAACGGGCAGAGGGGGACUGAGACACGGCCCCCACUCCUACGGGAGGCAGCAGCAGGGAAUCUUGCGCAAUGGGCGAAAGCCUGACGCAGCGACACCGCGUGGGGGAAGAAGGCUUUCGGGUUGUAAACCCCUUUUCUCGGGGAAGAGUAAGGACGUACCCGA
Molecule: ribosomal RNA, 469 nt
Filed under: uncultured bacterium
Lineage: Bacteria
Description: bacterial SSU rRNA
Rfam family: Bacterial small subunit ribosomal RNA
Source: RNAcentral